AGGAAGGUGGGUAUGUUAAUAGCAUAUUCAUUUGACGUUUAGCUGCAGAAGAAGCACCGGCUAACUCCGUGCCAGCAGCCGCGGUAAUACGGAGGGUGCGAGCGUUAAUCGGAAUUACUGGGCGUAAAAGCGCAUGCAGGUGGUUUGUUAAGUCAGAUGUGAAAGCCCGGGGCUCAACCUCGGAAUUGCAUUUGAAAACUGGCAAACUAGAGUACUGUAGAGGGGGUAGGAAUUUCAGGUGUAGCGGUGAAAUGCGUAGAGAUCUGAAGGAAUACCGGUGGCGAAGGCGGCCCCCUGGACAGAUACUGACACUCAGAUGCGAAAGCGUGGGGAGCAAACAGGAUUAGAUCCCCUGGUAG
RNAcentral lists this ribosomal RNA (359 nucleotides) under uncultured bacterium. RNAcentral describes it as "bacterial SSU rRNA". It matches the Rfam family "Bacterial small subunit ribosomal RNA", at positions 445 to 793 of the family's 1533-position model. The record is from RNAcentral.